AUGGCGACCGGCGCACGGGUGAGUAACACGUAUCCAACCUGCCGAUAACUCGGGGAUAGCCUUUCGAAAGAAAGAUUAGUACCCGAUGGUAUAAUUAGACCGCAUGGUCUUGUUAUUAAAGAAUUUCGGUUAUCGAUGGGGAUGCGUUCCAUUAGGCAGUUGGUGAGGUAACGGCUCACCAAACCUUCGAUGGAUAGGGGUUCUGAGAGGAAGGUCCCCCACAUUGGAACUGAGACACGGUCCAA
Molecule: ribosomal RNA, 245 nt
Filed under: uncultured bacterium
Lineage: Bacteria
Description: partial 16S ribosomal RNA
Rfam family: Bacterial small subunit ribosomal RNA
Source: RNAcentral